UGAGGAAUAUUGCGCAAUGGAGGCAACUCUGACCCAGCCAUGCCGCGUGCAGGAAGAAGGCGCUACGCGUUGUAAACUGCUUUUAACCGGGAAGAAACCCCAGGACGUGUCCUGGGUUGACGGUACCGGAGGAAUAAGCACCGGCUAACUUCGUGCCAGCAGCCGCGGUAAUACGAAGGGUGCAAGCGUUAUCCGGAUUCAUUGGGUUUAAAGGGUGCGUAGGUGGGGCGUUAAGUCAGUGGUGAAAGCCUACAGCUCAACUGUAGAAUUGCCAUUGAUACUGGCGCUCUUGAGUGCGCUUGAAGUAGGCGGAAUGUGCCGUGUAGCGUGAAUGCUUAGAUAUGGCACAGAACACCAAUUGCGAAGGCAGCUUACUAAGGCGAUACUGACACUGAGGCACGA
Molecule: ribosomal RNA, 402 nt
Filed under: uncultured bacterium
Lineage: Bacteria
Description: bacterial SSU rRNA
Rfam family: Bacterial small subunit ribosomal RNA
Source: RNAcentral